Molecule: ribosomal RNA, 253 nt
Filed under: uncultured bacterium
Lineage: Bacteria
Description: partial 16S ribosomal RNA
Rfam family: Bacterial small subunit ribosomal RNA
Source: RNAcentral
UACGUAGGGGGCAAGCGUUGUCCGGAAUCAUUGGGCGUAAAGCGCGUGUAGGCGGCUGGGUAAGUCCGCUCUGAAAGCCCGGGGCUCAACCCCGGGAGGCGGGUGGAUACUGCUCAGCUCGAGUCCGGAAGAGGAGUGUGGAAUUCCUGGUGUAGCGGUGAAAUGCGCAGAUAUCAGGAAGAACACCCGUGGCUAAGGCGGCUCUCUAGUACGGUACUGACGCUGAGACGCGAAAGCGUGGGGAGCGAACAGG